AUAACUCAAACCAACCCCAAAACCCCCCCAUUACCCCCCCUCUCUCUCUUCUCUCUAAGGUACUGUUCAUCUGUCUUCAAUCCGUACACUCUUCUCCGCUUCUAAUUCACCUCUCUGUGUUUCUGUUAAUUGGGUCUCGUUUUCAUAUAAUUGGGGAUUGUAUAUCCAAUUCCCCUGUUUUCCGUAAGUUUUCAGCCAUUUCUCUGCAUUCAGGAAACACCCCACCAGUUUCUAUUAACGCUUAUGGGUGUUUGUUUCCUUCCUGCGCAACUGAAUUUGAAGCAAAACCCCCCAAUUUCUUUUUUCUUUCCGGCCUAAGAUUUCGAAAUUCACGCUCUUUAAGGUAAUUGCUAAUGACAGCUGUGGUUUUCUGUACAGGAAGCUUCCUCAAUUUCGCCAUUCCCGGACCUCGAAGGGCUACAGUGUGUUGUACACUGACUGAAGCAGCUACAGAAAAAGGUUAGUCCUUCUACGCAAUAAUUGGAAGGAAACGCAAGAUUUCUUACCAUUAAACGAAGCAAUUGUGUUAAGUUAACUCUCAGUCUCUCUCGGCAAUUAUCUUCACUGCAAAGCAACAAAAUCCACCGC
RNAcentral lists this long non-coding RNA (588 nucleotides) under Linum usitatissimum (flax). Its description in RNAcentral is "long non-coding RNA (LUSI_LNC001884)". The record is from RNAcentral. Lineage: Eukaryota; Viridiplantae; Streptophyta; Magnoliopsida; Malpighiales; Linaceae.